AGGGGGAUGGGAGUAGGUGGUGAUGGCUAAAGGGUGCGGGGUUUCUUUUUGGGGUGAAAAUGUUCUAGAACUGAUUGUGGUGAUGGUUGCACAACUCCAUGAAUACACUAAAAGUCACUGUACACUCUAAAUGAGUGAACUGUAUGGUCUGUGAAUUACAUCUCAAUAAAGCUGUUAAAAAAAUAACUGUGA
Molecule: non-coding RNA, 192 nt
Organism: Ceratotherium simum simum (southern white rhinoceros)
Lineage: Eukaryota; Metazoa; Chordata; Mammalia; Perissodactyla; Rhinocerotidae
Source: RefSeq, a predicted model, not a curated record